CUUCCUGGCCAAACCGGACGUUCAGAUCUCUCAUCUCCGUGGAGGCCUUGAACUCCUCUACCACAAGACCCAUGGCCUCCGAGAUCAAGACCGAAAUCUGCUCCGUCAAAUUGGUGACCACGGCCUCCGCCUUUCUCGCCGUCCCUUCCAAGGUCUAUUUCUCUUCCUCCCAGGCUUGCUUUUCUCUCUCCAAGGCCUCUUGGAGGGCAACUACUUCAGCGGCCUUUUCCUUGAGGUGGGCGACUUCGGCCCGGCGAUGCUCCUCCGCCUGGGCGGCAUCCCUCCUCGCCCGAUUCAUCACCUUGAUGUUGGUGAGGAGUUGGUGCCCAAUCUGUAAGGACGGCUAAGGGAUCAAAACAAGGGUCGAAAAACUAAUUAAACGAAGAUUUGUUUACCUCGAGAAAGGACCCUAGGGAGUCCCAAACCUGCUGCUCGGGAUCGG
Molecule: long non-coding RNA, 442 nt
Filed under: Elaeis guineensis (African oil palm)
Lineage: Eukaryota; Viridiplantae; Streptophyta; Magnoliopsida; Arecales; Arecaceae
Description: long non-coding RNA (EGUI_LNC055740)
Source: RNAcentral